Molecule: unclassified non-coding RNA, 258 nt
Filed under: Hevea brasiliensis (rubber tree)
Lineage: Eukaryota; Viridiplantae; Streptophyta; Magnoliopsida; Malpighiales; Euphorbiaceae
Source: RNAcentral
CCCCUGCAUUAUCUGGUCCACCCCCAUCUCCCAUCAUGAAGUAUAAAUGCCCAUCUGUAGGUCCAAAAAGAAUCUGUCCUGCAUGAUGCGAUGUGAAUGGAAGGCCCAUUGUAAGUAUCCUUCUAACUUCCAAUGGUUUCGCAGUUGUUGCCAAGGAAGCCUCAACGGCUGUACUGUUUGCAGUAUAUUCUGCAAUNAUAUUGGCAUGGCUGUGCACCAUUAUCAGGAGCCAGCUUUGAAGGAUCACAAUUCACAUCU